AUUGAACGCUGGCGGAAUGCUUUACACAUGCAAGUCGAACGGCAGCACGGACUUCGGUCUGGUGGCGAGUGGCGAACGGGUGAGUAAUGUAUCGGAACGUGCCCAGUCGUGGGGGAUAACGUAGUGAAAAUUACGCUAAUACCACAUACGAUCUAUGGAUGAAAGCGGGGGAUCGCAAGACCUCGCGCGAUUGGAGCGGCCGAUAUCAGAUUAGGUAGUUGGUGGGGUAAAGGCCCACCAAGCCAACGAUCUGUAGCUGGUCUGAGAGGACGACCAGCCACACUGGAACUGAGACACGGUCCAGACUCCUACGGGAGGCAGCAGUGGGGAAUUUUGGACAAUGGGCGAAAGCCUGAUCCAGCCACUCCGCGUGCAGGAUGAAGGCCCUCGGGUUGUAAACUGCUUUUGUACAGAACGAAAAGGUUUCUACUAAUACUAGGAGCUCAUGGCGGUACUGUAAGAAUAAGCACCGGCUAACUACGUGCCAGCCGCCGCAGUAA
RNAcentral lists this ribosomal RNA (500 nucleotides) under uncultured bacterium. Its description in RNAcentral is "partial 16S ribosomal RNA". It matches the Rfam family "Bacterial small subunit ribosomal RNA", at positions 30 to 523 of the family's 1533-position model. The record is from RNAcentral.